GAGAUGUGCUUAUCUAUAGCAAGGGUCCAGUGAAAAUGAUGUAUUCUUUUGCCAUCAAAGGAAUAUUGAUUUUUUUUUUUCUUUUCACAUAAUAUUGUGAUGGGCUUGAUUUCCGUGGGUAAUAUUUAUUCAUGAAGAGGGUGGAAUCUUAAUCCAAAUCAUUUCAGUAACCAAGAGCCAGGUGAUUCUCAUAAACCUUUUGUUAGGCAGGCGGAGGCUGUGCUGUAAAUGCCUCCCAGCCGCAAGCCCUCCUUGCUGGGACCCAGCCCUGCCGCCUGUCCAGCACAGAGGUGAAGCCCCUCAGGUGGUCAGGAGCUGAGGCUAGCAUCACCGCUUGCAGGAAUCCUACCAGCUAAAACAAAACAGAAGAAAGUACCUGUCCUUCUCAGCCAAUCCAGUGAUAACACAAAAUAUUGGAAAGACUUGAAAUCCAAGCCACAUUAUGGCACACAGAUUGAUAUUAAUUACCAAUAUCCGUCGGAAGUACAUUCUAACCAUGUCAUAGGAAUGGAAUUAACAAAGAUAUUGGCACAGGGUCAUUCCUGAACACAAAGUUGAUAUCAGGUGAAAUAAGAGUCAAGAUGGCUUGAGUAAUGAAGACAAUCUCAGUAUGAUAAAAACAUACCAAGCUACACUUUGGAGUUUUUAACAACACUCAGAGUCAGUAAAGCACUAAAAAAAGUAGCUGAAGUGUAAAUUAACCAUUAUCUCUCUCAGACUGCAUCUCUGUUUAAUUUCAGAGUGUGUGUUACACAAACAAUAACGUAAAUAUAUGUAACUGAGAUGUAAUUUUAAAAUAAAAUUAAA
Molecule: long non-coding RNA, 807 nt
Organism: Columba livia (rock pigeon)
Lineage: Eukaryota; Metazoa; Chordata; Aves; Columbiformes; Columbidae
Exons: 4
Source: RefSeq, a predicted model, not a curated record